This 373-nucleotide ribosomal RNA is filed under the name uncultured organism. RNAcentral describes it as "partial 16S ribosomal RNA". It matches the Rfam family "Bacterial small subunit ribosomal RNA", at positions 527 to 896 of the family's 1533-position model. The record is from RNAcentral.
GUAGGUGGCAAGCGUUGUCCGGAAUUAUUGGGCGUAAAGCGCGCGCGGGCGGUCCUUUAAGUCUGAUGUGAAAGCCCACGGCUCAACCGUGGAGGGUCAUUGGGAACUGGGGGACUUGAGUACAGAAGAGGAAAGCGGAAUUCCAAGUGUAGCGGUGAAAUGCGUAGAGAUUUGGAGGAACACCAGUGGCGAAGGCGGCUUUCUGGUCUGUAACUGACGCUGAGGCGCGAAAGCGUGGGGAGCAAACAGGAUUAGAUACCCUGGUAGUCCACGCCGUAAACGAUGAGUGCUAAGUGUUAGGGGGUUUCCCGCCCCCUUAGUGCUGCAGCUAACGCAUUAAGCACUCCGCCUGGGGAGUACGGCCGCAAGGCUG